CUUAUAAAAAUACAAAGUAGCUCUUUCCCAUCUUGCAAGAUGGCAGGUGAAAAAGCUGAGAAGCCAGAUACUAAAGAGAAGAAACCCGGAGCCAAGAAGGCUGAUGCUGGUGGCAAGGUAAAAAAAGGGUAACCUUAAGGCUAAGAAGCCCAAGAAGGGGAAGCCCCAUUGCAGCCGCAACCCUGUCCUUGUCAGAGGAAUUGGCAGGUAUUCCCGAUCUGCCAUGUAUUCCAGAAAGGCCAUGUACAAGAGGAAGUACUUAGCCGCUAAAUCCAAGGUUGAAAAGAAAAAGGAGAAGGUUCUUGCAACUCUUACAAAACCAGUUGGUGGGAACAAGAACGGCGGUACCCGGGUGGUUAAACUUCGCAAAAUGCCUAGAUACUAUCCUACUGAAGAUGUGCCUCGAAAGCUGUUGAGCCACAGCAAAAAACCCUUCAGUCAGCACGUGAGAAAACUGCGAGCCAGCAUUACCCCCGGGACCAUUCUGAUCAUCCUCACUGGACGCCACAGGGGCAAGAGGGUGGUCUUCCUGAAGCAGCUGGCUAGUGGCUUGUUACUUGUGACUGGACCUCUGGUCCUCAAUCAAGUUCCUCUACGAAGAACACACCAGAAAUUUGUCAUUGCCACCUCAACCAAAAUCGGUAUCAGCAAUGUCAAAAUCCCAAAACCUCUUACUGAUGCUUACUUCAAGAAGCAGCAGCUGCGGAAGCCCAGACACCAGGAAGGUGAGAUCUUCGACACAGAAAAAGAGAAAUACGAGAUUACAGAGCAGCGCAAGAUUGAUCAGAAAGCUGUGGACUCACAAAUUCUGCCAAAAAUCAAAGCUGUUCCUCAGCUCCAGGGCUACCUGCGAUCUGUGUUUGCCCUGACGAAACGAAUUUAUCCUCACAAAUUGGUGUUCUAAAUGUCUUAAGAACCUCAUUAAAUAGCUAACUACAAAAAUAAA
Molecule: non-coding RNA, 946 nt
Organism: Chlorocebus sabaeus (green monkey)
Lineage: Eukaryota; Metazoa; Chordata; Mammalia; Primates; Cercopithecidae
Source: RefSeq, a predicted model, not a curated record